RNAcentral lists this long non-coding RNA (1767 nucleotides) under Heterocephalus glaber (naked mole-rat). Its description in RNAcentral is "lncRNA (ENSHGLG00100038720.1)". The record is from RNAcentral. Lineage: Eukaryota; Metazoa; Chordata; Mammalia; Rodentia; Bathyergidae.
UGGGGACUUCAACUCCAUCUACCAAGUAGGCUAGCUUUCUUUCUUUCUUUCAUGGUACUAGGGAUUGAACCCAGAGCCUUCACACUGAGCUACAUCACUUUUUUUUUUUUUUUGGUACCGGAGAUCAAACGCAGGACCUUGCACUUGCAAGGCAGGCAUGGUGCCACUGAGCUAAAUCCCCGGCCCUCUUUUUUAAAUUGUUUCAUUUUUGAGACAAGUUCUCACUAAGUUGCUAAAUUGCCCGGGCUGGGCUUACAAUUUCCAUCCUCCUGCCUCAGCCCCCAGCGAGCUGGGAUUACAGCUGUGCACCAUGAAGUCUGGCUUUCAGAUGGGCUCUUAAUGAUACACAGCACACUGAGGUCGAGUGGCUUUGCCCAGGCCACACAAGAGCUGGAGAGAGAGCACCGGAGAGCCCCCUCCAGCACAGAGAAAGGAGGAGUCUUUUCAGCCUUGCCAGCCUGUGCCAGCCUCCAGGGCCCCCACCCUUGCCCAACCUGCCAGAAUCUGUGAUCCCUUGUUGGGAUGGGACUGAAUUCCCCAGAGCUGUAGUUCGGGACCUGGCCAGCAACUGCAGUAACCACAGCUGUGUGAGAAGACAAAGCCGAGCCAUUGGAGCAGCCACACUACAAACAGAGGUGAGGUCCCAGCUCCUGUCCUACCCGAGAGGAACCUGGAGAGCUGGGUCCGGAAGCGGCCGGGGGCCUUGGACCCUAAACGUCAAGGCUGGGGGUACUGGCAGGGGCAGUGCCCACCGACUCGGGCCUCGCCACUGGAGCCGCCUGAGGGACUGCGUUUGGCCCCAACGUACCUGGGCCUCCGGAAUGGGCCCCAGGUAGGCUCUGGUUCCCGGAACUCCGCACUGCAGACUUCGGGCGCCCCGAGCUCUCCGCCCGCAUUCUGGGGGGCGCCUGGCCGUGGCACGUGCGCCUCCACCUGGGUCCUCCCCGCGGCUCCGAGGUCCCUGCGCCCCGAGCCGGGUCCUGCGAGAGGUGCCCCGCAUCCGGGCAGAGGCCACGCAGCCCGGCUCCGGCUCCCGCUCCAAGCCAGCCGCCCCAGGCCCCACCCCUGCUCCUCGGGCCCCCUCCCUGCUCCCCGGCUCCGGCGCAGUCCGACCCUAGGGCCCGGCCUCGGCGCAGGAACCGGACCGUGGCGCCGGCCGCCGAGUGGUCUGUGCUGCUGCGCGCGCUCGCGGGGCCGGACAGGGACGCCGCGCAAGCCUGCGCAGUGGCCGCCAUCCUGGUGCCGGGCGACUACAGCAGCGUGGAGCUGGGCGCCGACCUGGCCCUGCUGCGCCUCGCCUCGACAGCCAGGCUGGGCCCCGCCGUGCAUCCGUCGGCCUGCCCCGCGCCGCCCACCGCUUCUUGCCCGGCGCCGCCUGCUGGGCCAACGCCUGGGUGCCGCCCAGGAGGCGGGUUUAGAUCCGACUAGAGUGCCCGGCCCAGCUGUACUUCAGACCAAUCAUUUCACCCAGUACAUUUCCUCCCCUGUAAAGUGGGGUCACCCGGGCGUGGUGGCGCACGCCUCUGGUCCCAGCACUUGGGAGGCUGAGGCAGGAGGAUCACCGCGAGUUCGAGGCCAGCCUGGGCUACAUAGUGAGUUUAAGGCCGCCUUGAACUACAUAAUGAGACCUUAUGGGUAGGUUAAAUGAAAAAAAUCCACCUGCAACUUGUAGCACAGUGCCUAGCAUCGCCAUACUUAAUGUGUUCUGGGCAUGUUUUGUUUUGUUUUGGUACCGGGGAUCGAACUCAGGACUUUGCGCUUGUGGGG